RNAcentral lists this ribosomal RNA (506 nucleotides) under uncultured bacterium. RNAcentral describes it as "partial 16S ribosomal RNA". It matches the Rfam family "Bacterial small subunit ribosomal RNA", at positions 30 to 523 of the family's 1533-position model. The record is from RNAcentral.
AUUGAACGCUGGCGGCAGGCCUAACACAUGCGAGUCGAACGGUAACAGGAAACAGCUUGCUGUUUCGCUGACGAGUGGCGGACGGGUGAGUAAUGUCUGGGAAACUGCCUGAUGGAGGGGGAUAACUACUGGAAACGGUAGCUAAUACCGCAUAACGUCGCAAGAACAAAGAGGGGGACCUUCGGGCCUCUUGCCAUCGGAUGUGCCCAGAUGGGAUUAGCUAGUAGGUGGGGUAACGGCUAACCUAGGCGACGAUCCCUAGCUGGUCUGAGAGGAUGACCAGCCACACUGGAACUGAGACACGGUCCAGACUCCUACGGGAGGCAGCAGUGGGGAAUAUUGCACAAUGGGCGCAAGCCUGAUGCAGCCAUGUCGCGUGUAUGAAGAAGGCCUUCGGGUUGUAAAGUACUUUCAGCGGGGAGGAAGGGAGUAAAGUUAAUACCUUUGCUCAUUGACGUUACCCGCAGAAGAAGCACCGGCUAACUCCGUGCCAGCAGCCGCCGUAA